This 497-nucleotide ribosomal RNA is filed under the name uncultured bacterium. Its description in RNAcentral is "partial 16S ribosomal RNA". It matches the Rfam family "Bacterial small subunit ribosomal RNA", at positions 28 to 507 of the family's 1533-position model. The record is from RNAcentral.
GAUGAACGCUGGCGGCGUGCCUAAUACAUGCAAGUCGAGCGAACAGACGAGGAGCUUGCUCCUCUGACGUUAGCGGCGGACGGGUGAGUAACACGUGGAUAACCUACCUAUAAGACUGGGAUAACUUCGGGAAACCGGAGCUAAUACCGGAUAAUAUAUUGAACCGCAUGGUUCAAUAGUGAAAGACGGUUUUGCUGUCACUUAUAGAUGGAUCCGCGCCGCAUUAGCUAGUUGGUAAGGUAACGGCUUACCAAGGCAACGAUGCAUAGCCGACCUGAGAGGGGGAUCGGCCAAACUGGAACUGAGACACGGUCCAGACUCCUACGGGAGGCAGCAGGAGGGAAUCUUCCGCAAUGGGCGAAAGCCUGACGGAGCAACGCCGCGUGAGUGAUGAAGGUCUUCGGAUCGUAAAACUCUGUUAUUAGGGAAGAACAUAUGUGUAAGUAACUGUGCACAUCUUGACGGUACCUAAUCAGAAAGCCACGGCUAACUACGUG